Molecule: ribosomal RNA, 468 nt
Filed under: uncultured bacterium
Lineage: Bacteria
Description: partial 16S ribosomal RNA
Rfam family: Bacterial small subunit ribosomal RNA
Source: RNAcentral
GACGAACGCUGGCGGCGUGCUUAACACAUGCAAGUCGAACGGAAAGGCCCUGCUUUUGUGGGGUGCUCGAGUGGCGAACGGGUGAGUAACACGUGAGUAACCUGCCCUUGACUGUGGGAUAACUUCAGGAAACUGGGGCUAAUACCGGAUAGGAGCUCCUGCUGCAUGGUGGGGGUUGGAAAGUUUCGGCGGUUGGGGAUGGACUCGCGGCUUAUCAGCUUGUUGGUGGGGUAGUGGCUUACCAAGGCUUUGACGGGUAGCCGGCCUGAGAGGGUGACCGGCCACAUUGGGACUGAGAUACGGCCCAGACUCCUACGGGAGGCAGCAGUGGGGAAUAUUGCACAAUGGGCGGAAGACUGAUGCAGCAACGCCGCGUGCGGGAUGACGGCCUUCGGGUUGUAAACCGCUUUCGCCUGUGACGAAGCGUGAGUGACGGUAAUGGGUAAAGAAGCACCGGCUAACUACGUG